This 492-nucleotide ribosomal RNA is filed under the name uncultured bacterium. RNAcentral's name for it is "partial 16S ribosomal RNA". It matches the Rfam family "Bacterial small subunit ribosomal RNA", at positions 29 to 507 of the family's 1533-position model. The record is from RNAcentral.
AGUGAACGCUGGCGGUAGGCCUAACACAUGCAAGUCGAACGGCAGCACAGUAAUAGCUUGCUCUUACGGUUUUCGAUUUUCUUACUUGUUAGUAAUACAUCGGAAUCUACUUUUUCUUUUUUUAUAACGUAGGUAAACUUACUCUAAUACCGCAUACUACCUACGGGUGAAAGCAGGUUAUCUUCGUACCUUUCGCGCUUUCAUUCUCCUCUGUCGGAUUAGCUAUUUUUCGGGGUAAAGGCCCACCAAGGCGACGAUCCGUAGCUGGUCUGAGAGGAUGAUCAGCCACACUGGAACUGAGACACGGUCCAGACUCCUACGGGAGGCAGCAGUGGGGAAUAUUGGACAAUGGGCGCAAGACUGAUCCAGCCAUACCGCGUGGGUGAAGAAGGAAUGCGGGUUGUAAAGCCCUUUUGUUGGGAAAGAAAAGAAGAAGGUUAAUAACCCGCUGGUCUGACGGUACCCAAAGAAUAAGCACCGGCUAACUUCGUG